UCCCUGGUGGUUCAGAUGGUAAGGAAUCUGCCUGCAAUGCAGAAGACCUGGGUUCGAUCCCUGGCUGGGGAA
Bos taurus (domestic cattle) is the source of this 72-nucleotide non-coding RNA. NCBI's taxonomy places the organism in Eukaryota, Metazoa, Chordata, Mammalia, Artiodactyla, Bovidae. The record is from Rfam.